GUUCGUCUUCAGGGCAGGGUGUAAUUCCCGACCGGCGGUAUAGCCCGCGACCUGCGUGUGUACGCAGUUGAAUCUGGUGUAAUUCCAGGUGCCGACAGUAUAGUCUGGUAUAAAGAAGAUUUUC
This 124-nucleotide non-coding RNA is filed under the name Paucilactobacillus suebicus. RNAcentral's name for it is "Lactobacillus suebicus FMN sequence". It matches the Rfam family "FMN riboswitch aptamer (RFN element)". From Rfam's summary of the family: The RFN element is a highly conserved domain that is found frequently in the 5'-untranslated regions of prokaryotic mRNAs that encode for flavin mononucleotide (FMN) biosynthesis and transport proteins. The record is from RNAcentral. Lineage: Bacteria; Bacillati; Bacillota; Bacilli; Lactobacillales; Lactobacillaceae.